CCUACGGGAGGCAGCAGUGGGGAAUAUUGGACAAUGGGCGAAAGCCUGAUCCAGCCAUGCCGCGUGUGUGAAGAAGGUCUUCGGAUUGUAAAGCACUUUAAGUUGGGAGGAAGGGCAGUUACCUAAUACGUGAUUGUUUUGACGUUACCGACAGAAUAAGCACCGGCUAACUCUGUGCCAGCAGCCGCGGUAAUACAGAGGGUGCAAGCGUUAAUCGGAAUUACUGGGCGUAAAGCGCGCGUAGGUGGUUUGUUAAGUUGGAUGUGAAAUCCCCGGGCUCAACCUGGGAACUGCAUUCAAAACUGACUGACUAGAGUAUGGUAGAGGGUGGUGGAAUUUCCUGUGUAGCGGUGAAAUGCGUAGAUAUAGGAAGGAACACCAGUGGCGAAGGCGACCACCUGGACUGAUACUGACACUGAGGUGCGAAAGCGUGGGGAGCAAACAGGAUUAGAUACCCU
Molecule: ribosomal RNA, 458 nt
Filed under: Pseudomonas marginalis
Lineage: Bacteria; Pseudomonadati; Pseudomonadota; Gammaproteobacteria; Pseudomonadales; Pseudomonadaceae
Description: bacterial SSU rRNA
Rfam family: Bacterial small subunit ribosomal RNA
Source: RNAcentral